Non-coding RNA from Clarias gariepinus (North African catfish), 549 nucleotides. Lineage: Eukaryota; Metazoa; Chordata; Actinopteri; Siluriformes; Clariidae. The record is from the annotation of a RefSeq genome assembly.
AUGGAAGAUCUAGAGCUGCGUAUGGAGAGGAAGAAAGGAAAACCUUUUGACAUCAAGGAGCUUCACAUGAAAACAGUAAGGCUUGGAGAUGCUGUAACUAUGGAGUGUAACAUUACUGAAGUCAGAAACAAAAAUAGUUUAGCUUGGUACAGACAGAGUUUUGGAAAGAUUCCUCAGUUUUUGGCGAGACAAUACAGUAACACUCAGGGCUACAUAUUUUCUGAUGGAUCUUAUGAUAGCCACUUCAGUGUUACUGUAAAGGACCAAAAGUUUGAUCUCAACAUUAAUAAAACAAGAGAAGAUGAUGGAGGAGAAUAUUUCUGUGGAUAUGUGGAGGGAAGUACAGUAAAGUUCACAUCUGGAACACGUCUGCAGUUUGAAGGUGAAGAGAUGAAACCCUGUCCUACACCUGGAACACUUAACAAGAACAACAGCAGUUUCAUCUGUACGGAUCAGAUGUGUGUGAUGUUCUGGCUCUCUGUUACUAGAGUUGGAGUUCUUGUCUUCAUUAUUUUUCCGGUGAUCCUGAUUGUUUUCAAAUAUAAAUAG